CCUACGGGAGGCAGCAGUGAGGAAUAUUGGUCAAUGGGCGCGAGCCUGAACCAGCCAAGUCGCGUGAGGGAAGACGGUCCUAUGGAUUGUAAACCUCUUUUGUCGGGGAGCAAAAGACGCCACGCGUGGCGUUCCGCGAGUACCCGACGAAAAAGCAUCGGCUAACUCCGUGCCAGCAGCCGCGGUAAUACGGGGGAUGCGAGCGUUAUCCGGAUUUAUUGGGUUAAAAGGGUGCGUAGGCGGAAUGCCAAGUCAGCGGUAAAAUCGCGGGGCUCAACCUCGCUCCGCCGUUGAAACUGGCGGUCUUGAGUGGGCGAGAAGUAUGCGGAAUGCGUGGUGUAGCGGUGAAAUGCAUAGAUAUCACGCAGAACUCCGAUUGCGAAGGCAGCAUACCGGCGUCCAACUGACGCUGAAGCACGAAAGCGUGGGUAUCGAACAGGAUUAGAUACCCCAGUAGUC
Molecule: ribosomal RNA, 459 nt
Filed under: uncultured bacterium
Lineage: Bacteria
Description: partial 16S ribosomal RNA
Rfam family: Bacterial small subunit ribosomal RNA
Source: RNAcentral